AAAGACUUAGUCCUAACCUUACCGUUAGUUCUUGCUAGAUACAUACAUGCAAGUAUCCGCACUCCAGUGUAAAUGCCCUUAAUAUCUUACACAGACAACAGGAGCAGGUAUCAGGCACGCCACCGCAGCCCAAAACACCUUGCCCAGCCACACCCCCACGGGACUUCAGCAGUAGUUAACAUUAAGCAAUAAGUGUAAACUUGACUUAGCCAUAGCAACCAUUAGGGUUGGUAAAUCUUGUGCCAGCCACCGCGGUCAUACAAGAAACCCAAAUUAACUCUAAACGGCGUAAAGAGUGGUCCUUUAAUAUCACCCUGACUAAGAUUGAAAUGUCGCUAAGCCGUUAUAAGCUCAAGACACACCUAACACCCCCUCCAAAAACGAUCUUAGCCAUCCGAUCCACUAAACUCCACGAAAGCCAGGAUACAAACUGGGAUUAGAUACCCCACUAUGCCUAGCCUUAAAUCUAGAUGCUUCCCCUACCCAAGCAUCCGCCCGAGAACUACGAGCACAAACGCUUAAAACUCUAAGGACUUGGCGGUGCUCCAAACCCACCUAGAGGAGCCUGUUCUAUAAUCGAUAACCCACGAUACACCCAACCAUCUCUUGCUAGAACAGCCUAUAUACCGCCGUCCCCAGCUCACCCUUAAACUGAAGGACUAGAAGUGAGCACAAUAGCCCCACCCGCUAGCAAGACAGGUCGAGGUAUAGCUAAUGAGAUGGAAGAAAUGGGCUACAUUUUCUACCAUAGAAAAUCUCACGGCAAGGGGAAUGAAACCUCCCCUAAAAGGCGGAUUUAGCAGUAAAGUAGGAUUAUAAAGCCUACUUAAAGCUGGCUCUGGAGCACGUACAUACCGCCCGUCACCCUCCUCACAAGCCUUAAACAACUUAAUAACUAAUAUGCAACUAGGCUAAAGAUGAGGUAAGUCGUAACAAGGUAAGUGUACCGGAAGGUGCACUUAGUCUAC
RNAcentral lists this non-coding RNA (968 nucleotides) under Scytalopus magellanicus (Andean tapaculo). Its description in RNAcentral is "12S ribosomal RNA". It matches the Rfam family "Bacterial small subunit ribosomal RNA". The record is from RNAcentral. Lineage: Eukaryota; Metazoa; Chordata; Aves; Passeriformes; Rhinocryptidae.